UCUGUCUGUCUAUCUCUCUCUCUCUGUCUUUCUGUAUGUGUCUCUCUGUGUGUCUUUGAACCCUGCCCUCCCCCCAAGUGGCUUCCACCCCAUAUACACUUGUUCUCUGCUGGCUCAAGCUUUUUUUAGGUGAACUUUUAGGAAAGGCCCUGAGUUGCUUUGUAUUGUCUGAGAUGUUUUAGUACAGGGGGAAAUGCUAGCUUUUGCUUUUUUUCAGGUCCUUCUAUUAUAUGAGGCAAAAUAAAAUAAAAUAAUAAAAUAAUAAGAGUUAAAGAGGGCCAAGAAAAGAGGUAGUGGUGUCCAUAAUGCAAGAAACUGCAGAAGAGAAGAAGGUUUUGUUCGAAAGGAUUCCAUUUGGGGGAAGUAGGAACCGGACGUGUUGAAGAUUAAAAUUGGGGGGAGGCAAAACAAUUGAUUGGGCCUUUGAAAUCUUGCCAAGGACCAAGAACCAGGACUAGUCACAGAGGGGCUGGCCAGGUAGGACAAUUAAAAUGGAAAUCUGGCUCCCGGCAGCGUAGUGUGGAGCAGGGCUACACAGUCUGCUGAAGGGGGAGGUGGGGCCAAGUCUGGCACAGUCUGUGGGUUUGAAAGAAGCUGGGCGGGUUGGAGGACUCCAGUUAGCCUUUGUAGUUCUGAGCUCAGAGAGGGGGUGACAAACACUAGGCUCCGGGUCACAAGACUGGCUUGGAUGGCUUUUGGAAAAAUUUCCUCUCAGCUCUCAAACACUGCAAAUAUAUUUACCCCAAUGUUACCUUCCAAUCACAGCCUCAGCAUGUGUCCUGGACAGAAGAGGAGAUUUCAACAGUUGUACCUGUUGGCUGAAGGAUGAGGUCGACUCUCUUCCCAGUGCUCUAGAAGUACCAGCUGGAUGGAAUACAAUAUCUUUGCAUGUUUUUCUUACACUUCCCAUAUGCUUGCGCCUCCCAGAUCUCUAGGGUUAAUUCCUCAGGACAGCCUUGCUUUGAAAGAAGAAAGUGUGGUGAACCAGCUUGAAGAUGGGGACUCCAGAGGCAUCUAUCUGUCCUGCCUCUGCUAGACCCAGACUACAGGUGAUGCGUAUUCACAGAGAAAGUAGUAAGUUUUCACUGUUGCCAUUUUGUUUGUUAUUUUCAAGGCUUAGUUGAUUUCUAGGCUCAGGGUCCUCAAAGCAUGUGUGGACUCCCUCUCUGUCUCUCCGUCUCUGUCUUUCCUCCCUUUUCCUCUCCUCUUCUUUCUCCCUCCUUUUCCCUUCCAAGUAAAAAUAAAUAGUACUCUUCCCAUCCCAGGAAUGAUUUAUAAAAGCAACAAACUGCUUCUUCCUCGUGGUUUCAGUCCUGGAUUGAAGAUCUCUGAGGUUAGCCUCUACGUGCCUAUCCUCAAUUAUCUCAAAACCACAUCUGCCAUCAGCUUAUACAAUCUAUACAGAAGUUCUUCUCCAUAAUAAAUACUAUAUAACUGAUGUCAUCAUGCUAAACUUAUCCCAGUACUUGCACAGAUGUCUUCUUUGAGGGAUCUCUGUACAUAUUUUCAGUCCCUCAAAGGGAUAGGAGACUUUAGAAGGAGGGUGUGGCUCAGCUGAUUCAGCUCCCUUCAGGCUCAUCUCUGACUCUUUCCUGUGGCUCCUCCCUCUCCCCACCUCCUGGAUCCUCAGACCUAACCUGAGCCGGCUGUCAAUUCAAUACUAUUUCUCGUUUCCAGCCUGGUUAGAUUGCUGGGCAAGCGAGCACUUCUCAUGAUCACGCUCAUUAUGUCUGUGGUCUCUGCAUUACCAUCAGACCAAGACACAGGCUGAACAAUAGCUUCUACUCCCACAACUUCUGUCAGCAAGAAAUAAUGUAGCCAAAGUACAAUUGUGAUACCAAUAUUGUAUUUAGAAGUUCUCUAGCUCAUUUCAUCUUCCAAGAGUCUUACAGAUGUUAACUAAUUAAUCUUCACCACACUUCGUACAUUAGAGGUAAAUAUUCUUAACCAUGACGGAAGACAUGUAUGUAUAUGCUGAGGACAGUAAAACAGUUACUUAUUUAUCAUGGUUCACUUGAUAGAGUAACUGGUAUUUUAAAAACACCCAUCAUAGAUACAAUAAUUAGAGAUAGGCUUUUGCUAACAAAGCCACUACCCACUUCUAGCGUACCCUUGGGUACUAAAUAAUUACCCACUUUGUGUGGUUAUCUAGCUCACUAAUUACCCACAGAAAUUGGGGUCAGGUGUUAACUGCUUGAAAUAAGUAUCCUCUGAAGACAUCGCUGAGUUGUAUGGAGAAAAUGAUGCGUUCCUCAGCCCAACUUUCACAAGUCACAUAUUUGUAUAUCUUUGUAAGCAGAGUGAACACAGACCAGGACAAAUUAGCUUAGUAUGUGGAAGUCAGGCUACACUGUUACUGUGAAUCAGAGGGGUUUGGAGAAUUUCAUUCUCCUUCUAUCUUUCCUUUCCAGCUGGGUGCAGUUGCCUGCUCUUGGGCCUUCAUAUGCUGAGACAAUCAAGGACUCUCCUUAGGAGUGAGUCAUCUUGGCAUUACAGGGAGGCACCCAAUGAGUCAAAGAUUUUUUUUUUACAGCUCCACCCUUUUUGAUUAUUUAAGCCUCUUGUCUCUGUCUCUCUGUCUCUCUGUCUCUCUGUGUGUGUCUGUCUCUCUUCUUCAUCAAUCUAGUGCAAACACUCGAUUAGUCAAAUCUGAAAAAGAUUCUGACCCAGUCACUAACUCCUCCUGGCAAUUGCCUUCCUCCUUCCCAGACAUGACAAUAAGGAAAACUCAGCCUUCUGUAACUUCUUCUCUUUUGCCUGAUUGUCCUCCUCUCUCCUCUUCUCCCUCCCCUUUCUUCUCUCUUUUCCCUUCCUCUGAUUCUUCAUCUCCUAUAUGUUCAUCCUUCUCCUUUCUUUGGCUUCAGCCGUGCUUCUGAAGUACCACCGUCAGAAACAAAGCAAAAUGAAUGUCUGUGAUGAGCACAAAGAAAACUACCUUUUAAAACACCCACUUGCAGGGAACCUGCAUUCUUGGCUGCCUUCUGCCCCUUUCUUGCUAUUUACAGAAGCCCGUAUUCUAUUUUAACACAGUACUGUCUGUUGUCUGCAGGAUUCUAGCCCCAUUGGGGGAACUGUGUUAAGACAGCCAUAAGACAGCCAUAUACCCACUGUGUUUAUAGAUAGGUAGAGACUCUGAUUUUGGGGGUGGUGCCUUCUGUGAGAAGACACUGUAUAGAAGGCAAGCAUUUAAAGAUGGGUGACAACGGAAACACUGCAUGCUGCUCCCUCCUUUUAGGGAUGGCUUCUUUUUUCUUGUGCCUCUCUCUCUUCUCUCUCUCUCUCUCUCUCUCUCUUUGUCAUCUGAAGUAUUGCUUAUCAUUAUUGAGGGACAUUAAACUGAUCGAUAAAGUAUGCAGGUAUCUGAUGGACAUGGGGGGAUACAGCUCCUUCAGGCAUCAAGAAAAUGCCUGCAUCGGAAGCCAAGGGUUUGGCUGAGCUGAGGAGACUGACGGAGGGGCUUUCCAAAUCCCAGGAACAUAAGUCGCAAAUUAGUGCACACUGCAACCAGGGGGAACCAGAAAAACCCAGCCAUCGAAAGGCAAGAGUUUUAGCAUUGUGGUCCUUAUGUGACUAAAUAGUAUCUAUGUAUCUUAAAUAUAUAAAAGAGCAAGGACGCACAUCCUUGCUCUUUUAUGCUCUCAUACACUGAUUUCAAAGAAGUGUUUGGGCGUUGUUGACUAUCUGUCCAUUAAAAAAAAAGAAAGAAAAAGAAAAAAAGAACAUUUCACAAGAAGCCUCACCUGCGUUCAUCCACGUACGUGUGUGGAUGCCGGACAAUUGGUCAAAGAACCAUACAGAUGUUUCACUUCUUCAUCAUCCCCACCUUGACCUUCCCCCUUAGAAAAUGGGCUACCUGAACUGUAGAUUUAGAGAAAGAAAUAUAUACGUAUAUAUACACAUAUAUAUGUGUGUGUGUGUAUAUACAUUACAAUGUCUAGUUUCCCCUGACCCGAUGGUAUAUUUUUGAUCUCAUUAGUAGUCAGGGAGACGUCUCCGUGCAUCCGGUGCUGCGAGUCCGGGAGGAGAUAUGCUACACACAGAGAGAGAAAGUGCGGGAGGAUAUUAGAAGAGGCUUGUCUUCAAGAUAUGGAAGGAAGUGAGAGAUGACAGCCUGCAAGCUCUGUAUGCCAGAGCCUGGCAGGGCGGGGGAGGUGCGAGGGAAGCCAAGUGGAUUCUCAGAAAAGGGGGGAAGCCAUCAAAGAGCUAAAGGUGAUUAGAGGGGGAUAUCGAUUCCUUACUCUGCCAGAGGUUUAAGCAGGCAUGUGAGGAAUCUGUACCGGGGUUGGCAGAAAGAGCCCCAUUGCCUCCUGUAACCAGACACUGGGGCUUUCCAGGAGCCCAGGGAGAGAGCCGAGAAGAAAGGGGGCAGUGUGGUCUAGGAAAAUUCAACUUGUCGCUGAUUUGUGCCUGAUGCUUGCUGUCCGUCAGCAGCCUCCCUUACAAGCUUUUUUCCUCUCCCUCUCCUUUUUUUCUCCCCUUGCCUUCUUCUUCAGUGAAGCCUAGGGGAGCCAGUAAAGAUUAAAUGUGCUUUCUCAAAGGCAGCCACUUCAUGCUGCUAUGUCGAAAGGGCUAUUAUUAAUAAUAAUAUGAGAGAGAGGGAGAGAGAGAGAGACUAGGUGUGAUGAUGAUGGUCUAGCUUUUUGGAGAGGAAAGGGGAGAGAAAAAAGGAGAGACGGCGAGCUGAACGGAGGACUGUGUGUGAGCAGAACCUACAGAGGUGAGAAAAAAAAAGAAGUUGUCUGGGUGUGUGUGUGUUGGGGGGGGUCUGUUCUAAAUAGACCCUUGUGGAGAAGGAGAAGAGGUCUAGCGGGCUGGCUGGCAUGGUUGUAGCUCUUCUGGUGGGGAGGAGGCGAGCCUGGAGCUCUUUACCGUUCCCGGUUGUAUAUGAAAGUAUAUUAAAAAUAGUUAGCUUUUUUUUUUUCUUUCUUUCUUUUUUAAACUCUGAGUCGGAGGACCCCCUCCAGUGUCUUCCUUACUGCCGGUGCUUUGUUAUUCUGUGUGCCCAGCGAGGCAUCUACUUCGCUCAGGCCUGGGAUAAAAGAAAGAAAGGAGGGGUGAGGGGAAAGAAAAAUUUUUAAAGGGGCAUCUUCCCAUUGGCUUCCCCUCCCUCCCUCUCGGUUCUUUUUUUUUUUUGGAGUCUGCACAGGAAAGCGCGGCUUCCAGGCAGAGGAGGUUCAAGAAAGCGCCUCUAUCAGGUACAGCGCUAGAAGCUGUCUGUGAAGAUGGAGGGGGAUUAUGCCUCGGAUGCCUCUGAAAUAUUGGCCAAAGGCUUCAAAGGAUCCGCAGCGGGAGGCGAGGGUGGGGGGAGCAUUUCCCCAGCUCUCACCCACCCUUCCCACUUUGCGUCUACCAAAUGACAGGCUGGAGCUCGCUCUGGGUGAUUUUGGCCUUGGCCUCAGCCAAGCAGCUGAUGCAGAGAAGGAGGGCCCGGUUUGCAAGAGUGACAGAACUCCGCAUGCUAGAGGGGGGAAAAAAGAAGGAAAAGAAAAAUAAUUUUCGUUUUUCAAGUAGUCCUUGGGAAAAUUUCUCGUUUUCUCUCGGUUUAUUUAUUUAUCAUUAAUUUUUUAACCGACUAUUUUCCAAAUUUGAUCAGCCCCAGCCCCUCCCUCUACUCCCACCCAACUGCCUCCCCCUACCCCCAGCCCCCCACCCCCGGUCAAAGCAUAAACCAGAGAGUUACGGUCUUCUCUCGAUUUUGGAGUAUCGCUUCCUGCCCCCGCCUUCCCUCCCCGCCCCAUUCUCUGUUCUAUUGAACACCUCGCCCAGCCUAGCGCACUGCGAACUCACAUUCCCCCCUGGCUCCGGAUGGCGCUCCUGGAGGCUCCGCAAGCCCGGCUCCGCUUCAAAUGGGGCUGUACGGAGACUGAAAUGGAACUAAAUUUUGUGAAGGGAAGAGGCUUAGAGAGAGCCAGGAUGUAGCCACACUGGACCACCUGUUUGCUGCAUUUUAGUCCCAAGUCUGCAACCGACACUGCCUGUCAUUUUUGUUUUGCUUUGUUUUGUCUCAAGAAAGAAAGAAAGAAAGAAAAUUGUGUUGCGCUCCCCUCAGUCCCUGAGACCCUAACUUGUGAUGUUUACCGUUUAAAUCCACGGGUUAGGCUCUUGGGAGCUGCGAGUCGUGCCUUUGCGUCGCUGAGAAACUUUUUGUCUUUUAAGAAAGAAAGAAAGAAAGAAAGAAAGAAAGAAAGAAAGAAAGAAAGAAAGAAAGAAAGAAAGAAAGAAAGAAAGAAAGAAAGAAAAGUUUGUCAGGAGUGGUGGGAGUACACCUCUGAGACUUCCAUUGUUAGACAGGAUCAGGUGACCGGAGUGAAGCAGCUCCUGGCUUCUGUAAAAGUAGGCAUAGACUGUUAGCAUCCUGUGUUGGCUGCUAUGGACGCCUGUGUAUAUGGCUGACACGAGGCUGGUGGGUCUAUUCCUUGAGAGCAACGGCGCAGUGCUAUUCCAGCGUAACAGCAACAGCUCAGUACCUGGUACUUGGCCUCAGCACAUCUCAGCUAAGUCCCAGCAUGCCCCAGGUCUCCAACUUUUAAGCUCAACAGUUAAUCUCAAAAUUGUGCCCAAUUAAAAUGGGCACGAGAAUGUAUUAUAGCUGCAUUGUCCACACGUGUGUCAUGCAUGGCUAGACAGAGGUUUCACUGACAUAGGUACGCACAAACCACUAGUUUGGAAUAAAUGAAGAGGUUAAAUAUUCAACUCUUGUAUUCAAUACAAAGGAAGGAAAUUAAGAGGUCAGGAAAGAGAAAAUAUGUGUUACUUUGCAAGAUUUCUAAAAAACAAAAUGGAAGGAGGGGGACUGGCUCCUUGGUUUUGUACCUCUUUAAAAAUGUUAUGCUUGACGAACUUGAAGGUGAUGAGGAUAGAAAUGUAUUUUCUAAAUAUUGUGGAAUGAAAGAAAUAACUGGGUGCAUUUGAUGCUGCUGCAUUCUUUGGGGUGGGGGAAAUCAAUGCCUAUGACUCUCCUUUAGAAACUGGACAGAUUUUUUUUUUUAUAUCAAGAUUUUAAUACAACCCAACAAAGUUAUUGGUAAUACCAAACCACAUUUCAAAAUGAUCCUCUCUUGAGCCAUUUGUUAGCGUUUCCUAGUUUGUAGAUUUCUGGGCUUGUAGCUUUCUAUCACAGGGUAACUCCAGUGUUUCAGGUCUGCCUCACACUGGGAAAAAGAGGACGCGGCUUACCUUUGUUUUUUUGCAGAAAAUUCGCCGUACGGUUUCCUUUAAACAGUUUUAGUCUUCUCAGCCCAACCUUUUUCUCCAUUUUUGGAAAAUACCUAAAUCAACCCAGACUCCAAAUGCUUUCAUGUUUGAAAGAUUUUGGAAUGGCUGUAGCCUCAUUGUACACACGGAGUGGAAGGUUAAGGAAACAGUUUGGGGUGUUUUUUUUUUUUUCCUAUUUUUAAGAACUUAUUGCAAUUUUACUCAUUUAUUCCAAAUUGCAGUCGAGAAAGCACCUCGCCUCAGAACACUGAAUUGGGAAGUAUGCAACAAUUGUGUGAUGCCUUUUGUUGAAACCUCUUGUACGGCUGUAAUUUAACUAUUACUUGGCAGCAUUUGGUAGAAUGUGCUUCAAAGCGUGCAGUUGUCUAAGAGAUUUUUCAUUAGUUUGUAUAAAAUAAUGAAUUAGUGAUUCCCCACCCCAUGUCAACCAAUGUGUAUGCAUAGCUAUGUGAAAAUUAUGGUGGUGCAUCAGCUUAACUUAUGGGCAAUAUAUUAUCACAUCAUACAUAUGAAAGAUAGGCGAACAUUUGGUGCUUUGGAAGGCAAACUAUGUAUGUAGCCAAUCUGGCAGAAAUGUAUGCAUGAUCAAUAAAGCCAUGAGAGUUGUAAUUUCUCUGUGAUUUCAAAUGAUAGAGGACCAUAAUUCAAGACCAACAUUUCCGUUUGUACUCUGAGGCGCUCCUGCUUUCCCCAUGCUUUCAAGCCUAUUGCUCCUGUUCUCAGCCUAAAGCCGGGUGCCCAGGCACUCAGCAGUGCGUGUGACACACAGGUUUUUUAUAUUUCAGCAGGCAACUGCUUCGCUGCAAGGGCAGGUUUCUCAACAUCCCCUCUUCCUCAUGGAGCCCAUCAGUGAAGUUCAGUGAAAUGAAUAACAUAAUUGGUGGUUGGUUCAAUCACUACCGGUCUAGACUAGCCCAGACGCAUCAAUUAGAGGGGACUGUCUUUUAAAGGGAGAGUGUAACCGAAACAAGCAGGCUAUUAUCGAUACCGAUCUUUAAAAGCACAAAUCCAGCCUGGCAGAUAAAAACAAAACAAAACAAAACAAAAAAAAAAAGCUGGGAGCUGCAGAGGGGGUGCACUGGAGGAAGAAAAGAGACCAAGGGAGCUGGAGCUCUGGAGCUGAGGGCCAAGAAGGACAGGAAGCGGGAGAGAAAGGGAGGGAUAAUAAGUGGAACACUGUCCUGGGCCUCCUUGGAGCGCAGUUACAGUUCAGCUCACAGGGCUUACAGCUCACCAUAUUUUUACCUAGCUUAUACACACACACACCACACACACACACACACACACACUUCUUCACUAACACUACCACCUCAUAAAAAAAGGUUCUUUUUCGUCUGUUCAAAACCAAUGCAGUUGAAAUUUAACAGCUUUAAGAUGCCCACUGAUGACAAGAGGAGCCAGCUGAACCCCCUUUUGCAGUAUCCCCCCCAAAGAAAAUAUAGAAAAUGCUUAAUUUUCAAAUCUCCAAUUCCUUUCUUUUUCUCUUCUUCUUCUCCUCCUCCCCUACCUCCUCCUAAAAGGAAGCAUGCUAGAGAACAGUACUCAUUUUAAAAUCUGGCACCUGGGACAAUUUUAUGAGGCAAAACACCUUUAUGCAAAAAGUUUAUAGUUUUCCAUUGAAUACAGUGAAAUUAAAAGAAUGUAACAAAGGCUUUGCUGUUUUGGUAGUUUUUUUGUGUGCGUGUGUGUGUUUUUCCCCCUGCGGUGGGGAGACAGAUGAUUUAGAAAGUGUUAAGAACAUAUCAAGCCCCAGGGAAAGAGAAAGGUUUGAUUGGUAUUAAUUAAAACACUGCUAAUAUAUUCUAAUAAAAUCAGAUUUAACAUUCUAAACUAAUCCGCCUAGCAUGUCAAAGGCAAAGGAAAGUAUUAUCUAUCUUAUUUGCAUCUGGGCAACUCGAAUGCAUUUGCUCAUUCGGCAGAAUUAAUUUCUAUCACCAGUCUAUUUAAUCUCCUCACAGAUUUAGUCAAACUUAUUCUUUCAACCUAAAAAGGACCAGGGAGGGGAAACCAUGAAAGGUAUUUGGAAGACCAGUGACUGUAUUUAAGGCCUGUUUUCUGGCUGACCAUAGUCUUUUCUCUUAAAUCGCUAUAAUGGGGUGUGGAGACAGCAGAGAUUGUAGAAUGAUAAAUGGCUCAGCCCCCCCCCCCCAUUCUCUCCUACCUGCUGGCUUAUUUAAAAAAUUCAGUUGCCAAAUUGUAAGAGUGGCAUUUAUUUAGUGCUGUCAGCCCAUUCAUGAACAUCUAAUUUUUGUUCUCUAAUUUCAGAACCUAUCUCAUCACAGAUUCCUAAUGGAAAAUAGAUAGAUAGAUAGGUAGAUAGAUGGAUAGAUAGAUAGAUAGAUAGAUAGAUAGAUAGAUAGAUAGAUGGAUGGAUAGAUGGAUAGGUAGGUAGGUAGGUAGAUAGAUCUCUUUAUACCAGAAACCCAUCUUCUUUUCUUAGCUUUUUGUUUUAAACUUCUGUCCUAAGGGCAAGUGAGGAAAGGAAUGUGAAAUUUUAUUCACCAAGAGCCGAGUUCUUUGUUCUAUUUUUAAGUCAAAUAUUUCCAUGGGAGAAUUCCAUAUUUUUAUGGAGCAUGGAGUUUCAGCUCUUUAUUAUUGCUGAGCUCUCUCAACUGAUAACACUCUCUUCAGAUGGUAUUAUGAUGCCAAAAUGUUUCGCCUGUCAUCAGUCUCCUGAAGCUAUGAUAGCCCGUGCAAAUAUGAACCUAGCACAAAAAAAAGAUGAAUGGACCGGAAAUGCUGAGGCCCAUAUGGGUGUGUUUCCACAAGGAGGGAGUCUGCAGGCAGUGGAGAGGUGGACUGACUGCAGUCUGGGAGGUGGCCGCAGACUGCUUUCUCCAUUGCCUUUUCAAGUCUUCAAGGUAAAAGGGCAAUCACAGUUUGGUUUCACUCGUAUUGUUCUAUAAUCCAGGCAAUAAAUGCUAAUUAGUAAUGUUCAAGGAUCCGACCAUUCAGAGUAAUUAUCAUAAUUUACUUCUUCCUCGUUAAAGACAUUCCUUGCUGAUUUAAAAAAAAAAAUCAGUUGUCCCUUCCCCAUUGCAUUGCACUGAGUAUUCACUAGAGAGAUGUUCAAGGUACACUCAGAGCCUGUGGCUGCACUUGAAGCCACUGACAUGUGCCUUGGCUUAUUCCGAGUGGAACUGCAGCUUAAUUUCUAAAACGGAAUUCAUGUAAAUGCAUCAAAUUCUGCACAUGCACCAGGAAUGUAUGAUUUUAUUUUACAAACCCCAAGGCUCCUCCUUCCAGGCCCACCCCCUUUUUCUAAAACCACUUCUGAACAGAACAAAGGAAAGUACUAACUAUAGAGGCAUCGUGAGAUGUGAGCAGUCAUUGCACUGUAAAGUCUGUGCUAUGACAACACAUUUCAUCGCACAAAAGUGCAGAUAAUUAAAUAAUUCAACAGCAACCCGACUAAUUACCAGGAAGAUAUUUAAGGAGGAAUCCAGAAAAUAGAUCCAAAUCAACCUGGAGGAUAUAUAUGCUUCAUUCUCUGAGACCUCAAAUAUAUUUUCGUUGUUUGGUGAUUGAUUCAUGCAGGGCUUGAGGACCAAAGCCAGUUCCUCAAAGCAGAGCUUGGAUCUUCUUUGGACACACAAACUGUAUGUCUCAGAUGAGCUGGAUUUAACAUAAGGUUUUAUGUUUGCAGUCAGAGAUGUAACACGUCACUCUGAUGCACAUUUUCUCUGUUCCAUAGAUCUAAGAAACGCCCAAGCCCUUAGCUUUUCAGUUGGCUUCCUCAAUGUGUACGUAGCCUCUCCCACAUUUUCUAAUGACGUAUGUUGAAGUCCCUUAUUGCUUGAAGCAAGUAAGUAUCAUGCGCACAGUGAUGGAAUAAGUAACUACAGUCAGUGCUAUCCAGUGUAAUAGCCCCUCCCCAUUUCCUUUGUCAAUGGUGUUAUUCUCUGCGUUCAUUGUUCAUUGGUCCUCUAUGUGGGAGCUCCAGUUUUAACUUGAGGGCUAUAAGCACAUUAGAAGAGUUAAUUCCCAUUGGAUACUGUACAGAGAAGCCACCUGCAAAAUGUUGAUGCUGUUAUUGAAGUCUCAAGUGGAAUCAGCUUUCAAAAAAUUAGAUAUUAGAUACAUCCGAUAUAAUUUGCAAUCUGUAAUUAUACUAAUGUGCGUAGAGCUGCACGUUGCUUUACGUGUAGCCUACUUGAGUUUGUCUCCCACCCCCACCCUUGGGAAUGUCUCAUCACUUGAAAUUGCUCCUGAGUAGAAUGCUUUUCAAGCCAGCUUAUUUUUUUUUAAUUCUGUGUUAAUUAAUACAAGAAUAAAAGGACUUUACAGCCUGUGUGCUUCUGCGAGAAUGAAAGUAGAAAACCUAGAUGUCGAAAACUAAUGAUCUCUUGAAGGGUUGUCACUGGAGAAACUUGAAUUCUUUGCAAAAUAUUUGCAAUUCUUUGUGGACUUGGUCUUCAUCCUGAUUAUGGAUAACUUUGGAGCUUGGAGAACAUGAGAAUAAUAAAUAUUACUCAUAAGGAAUCCAUUUCCUUUGUUAGAAUUAGAGAAACAGGCACUAGCCAGAGAUUGGUAGUUUUUAAUCUGAUAAAAGUAAUCAAGCCGUUAACAAUAACAAACAAUUCCUUUUCUGUUUUUCCCCUCCAUUUUGCAUGUCAUGUGAUGAGUAACUGAAACUCUUACGCACUAACUUCAGUUUCCUUUUGGGGCCUCAACAUGAUUCCAGAGAUCUACUGAUGGCUCCACUGGGGAGCCCCCUCGAGCAAGCUGCCCCCUGAAGAUCUACCUAUUAAGAAAAAAAAAAACAAAGCACCCAGGCAGAACACAGUGAGUUGGCUGGUCGGCCCGCUACUUGCCAUUUACUAUGUAUGCAGUGAGUGAUGAGACUGUCAAGACAAGCUUGGAGAAGGAUUACUGAGUAAGGCUAUGUGAGGGUCUCCUUUUUUGCCUCUUCAUUCAAAUUACAAAAAGGAUCGCAAGAGACCCUUACGUUGAGUAGUCAUUGCAAUUAGGUAGGUAUAGAACCAAAAAACCAAAGUGAUCUGUAAAGUUAUCCAUUCAUGACAAACAUGUGAAACCUGCCCAUUCUCCUACUGUCUACUGCUUAUUCAUGCCUCAAAAUUCCUUUUAAUAGUAUUUAUAGUAUAUAGAAGCUAUUUUUUUCCAAGGGAUGGAUUUAUAUAACAACAAAGCAGUGUAUAGCCUGUUUUUUUUUAAUCUUCUCACAUAUUAUUGGAUUUUCCAUUAUUCACUAUCAGUAUGAAUCAUAAAAGUAUUAUAUGCACUGUCCUUUCAUAAUACAAUAGCAUACUAAUUUAUUCACAAAGGAGUAUUACAUGUACGCCAAAACUUAGCACCCCAUCCUCAAUAUCAUUGUUUACAAAAUACAUUGUCCCAUCACAAAAUUCACCCUAAGUUUUUCUACCAGUUGGAUGUCUCCUCUAGAGAAUCAGUAGCCUCAGUGUACCAAAGUAUUUACUAUAGCAUAUGUGGUGGUGCAUCCCAUUCAGUGUGUCUAGCUCAUUGGUGGUGCAUUUUCAUUGUGUGAAUAUAAUGGAGAAGCUGAUGUCAAAGGCUUUAGUUAAAUUAAAACCAGCUACAAAAUCCAUCUCAUUCAUAACAGUCCCUGCAGAGUUAAGAGAGAAACAUUAAUACCCCUCUUCUCAAAUAUCCUUAUCUGUGAAGUGAGUGGGUCAGGCUAGGUAGGGUCUCAGUUCUUACCGCACUCAGAAUUGUUGAAGCUAUUUUACACUAUGGGGGCAAUUGGAACAAGGCCAGAACCCAUGAACCCAGAGUCCAUUUGUACCAUUAAUUGCCCUUCAAAGUUACAUCUGAUUCCACCUCCACGCUCAAUAUUUACUAAUCUGUUUUACCUUGUUGAGAAAGUACUACAGAUUGGAGUUCUGUUUCAGGAAGAGAUAGUGACAGAAAAAUGCAACGGCCUAGGACAAAAGAAAAUAAAAAUAAAGCUUCCCAGUGGAAGAAACAAAUUCUUGAUCUCAGUUGUAAACCCACAUCCCUCAACCUUGAUUUGGAAGAUAUCCAGGCAGACCCCUGCCUUAUUGUUUUAGGCCAUAGCCUCUCCCUCAGCCCUCCUUCUAUUCUUCUAGUCAUUUCUGGUUUGUUUUCUCCGUUGGAUAGGUGCCUUUAAGUCUUGUGUUUCUUGUUCCUCUUGGUUCAUUUUAAUUGUGAAAAUGUUUCUGCCACUUGACAAUGAGAACACACUUCCCAAAUGAGACACUGACAUGUUCAAAGCCCCCUGGAAAUGACCCCAUUUUUUUUUUUUACCUCAAAUCACUCAGGAUGCAAAAUUCCUUAUUUUAUUCAGCCAGACUCCCCAGUCUGCACACCUUUGAUAUGCUUAAUCUGACUAGUUUUCUUCCUGUGUGCCCCGAGUUACAGUAACUCCUGCCCUUCUUCAUUCUUUUCUCCCUUGCUCCCUUUCUCCCACUCUCCUUCUUCUCUUCCCUUCAUUUCCUCUCCCUCCUUCAUAUUUCUUCUCCUUUCUCUUUCUAACUACUUUCUCCUCCUCCCUUCUCCACUCCCCUUUUCUUCUCUUUUUUUUCUUGUUCUUUCUCUUUCAGUAUCAUGUGCCAAGCUCUAUGCCAGGUAUUGGAAAUACCAAUACAAAUUCAAGGGAUCAGUGAUUGACACUCAAUGGUCUAGUGUCUUCAUUCUGUCCUGCAAUGCCAAGCAGUUAGGCACCCACAGCUAACUUAGUUUGCUUUCAUUCCUAGGACCUACUUGACUGUUCUCUGUGUCCUGUGGUUUUUUGCUCUCUGCUUGUCUGACCUGUUUCAGUGAGGGUAGACCGGAAGCACUCCUCUCAGUAGGGCUUUCUGGUAUGUACACACCGGGACAAGACCACUGCUUCAUUGAUUCUUGAGCAAGGGGAACAAUGAAAGAAAGCCACUCUUUGUUGUUCAAGUGAUGUAGCAUUUUUGCCUUAGUUGUCUCUAAGGUGUCACAAAUUCACUUCCAUUAAACAGUCAAUGUGAUAACUGUCUGUGACGUGUUCUAUUAUCUUUUUUAGUCGUACUGAUGUUCCUUUCAGCUGGUCCUAUAGCCCCCUUCCUCAGGAAUGUCUCCCCAGUGAAAAGACAGAGCCUGCAGAGACUGCUAGCCUGAUGGACGCUCUUGCCAACUGUGGAGUUGAAACAAAGCAAGUGGCCACCUGAGGAGACCCUUCCUGCCCAGCAGCCACCCACAGGGGGCAGUUGCAGCCAAUAGUAGUCUUUGCAAGAAGCAGAGAAAACCCACAAUACUCAUGCGUAACAAACUUCCCCUUCCUUGUGUGUACUCCUCUGUGUGUGUUCGGAUCACCUGCCGUCCUUUCUGAUCUCAGUAUGGGUAUGCUUGUUGGUGACCAAAUUCAUUCAUGCAUGAGGACAGUGGUUGUCUGGGGGAGCGACUUUCCCCAACACAUAGUGAUUGCUCCUGAGAGUGAUCUAGAAAGUGAAAACACUUGGGAAAGCCAGCAAAGCAGUCACAGGCAAUGUUCAGAGACCCAUUCAGAGCACCACACAGAAACCCCACGUCAUGCCCCCAGACUCUGUGCAGCAAGCUUGGCUCUAUGACAUACAGCAGCUGCUGCUGGGGGUGGAACUCAAGGUAGGCAAAGGUGCAUGAGCUAUGUAAAAUGUAGUGAUAAACCGAGUCAGUAGACAACAAGAACAGAAACAACACAAAAGACAAUGUGCUUGGAGGAGGCCAAAUUGGUUUGCUUAAGGAAGAACGGUCUCCUUAAGAGAAAAUAAGAAAUAAACCUUGAAGGUUCUAAACAAACAAACAAAUAAAACAACCACAACAACAAAAUAAACAAAUAGCUAAAUGGGAAGGUAGAGGAAAAGAGUUCUUGAGGUGAGCACAAUGGUAAGCAAGGACAUGGCAGGGGAAAUCCACUCGGUGAGUUUUGCAGAUUACAAACACUCAUCUCAACUUGAUGUCACCACAAACUCUGCACCCCUCUCUGUGUGUCUAGUAGAGAUGGCGCACACACGUAUGUUCCCUCUCCCCCCCGCAGAAGUCACCUAAACCCAACUAGAACUAAAGUUCCAGUUCUCUGUCACUAUAAAGGUUACACCGGUGGUACCUGUGUAGAACUCGCGACUCUUCCAUUCAUGCUUGCUAGUUACCAAGUUUAUCCCAUAUAGGAAGUGUUUUGCAUAUGACAUCUCAUGACAACUAUGAAAACUACACAGGAUAAAACCCAUUUUGAUUAGGUUAAGUGCCUGGCAGAGGUGCUAUGUGCAGCAAUGCAUAUUCAAGGUUAUGGUCACAGAACUCAUGAGUUGAAGCCCCAAGUCAGACUUUUGUGGCCAGUUCCAACACUGUGUUACCUUCCCCACAGCCCUAAAACCUGUCUGUGAGAACAAACAGCUCUUCUGCUUUCCUAUCACCUCAGUCUUUCCCACUUUUGCAGCUGAAUAGGACCAGAAUGAUUAAAUGUAUUUUCCUGAGAGAAAAUUGAGAAUUUGGUGAAGCAGAGCCAGCCAACAGUUUACACAUUUCCUUUUGAUUUGGGUCUGACACAAGACUUCUGAUUUAGUUCUUCCCGAAAUCUCAAAGUUUUAAGAGCAGUAAGGGAAGGGCCUUAAGUUACCUGUUACAACAUCUUUUUGACAGAAAAUGUAAAUCUACAGCGUAUAUUCAGAGUGACUUACAAAACAAACAAACAAAGCAACAAACAACCACCCCAAAUGAACAACCAACCAACCAACCAACCAACCAACCAAACAAACAAACAAACAAACCAUCACAUAUUUGGAAGUGUCCAACAAGGACCAGAAACUAAGCCCUCAGUUAUCUUUCAACGGCUUUUAAAUUACUCUACCCUGUCCUAAAGUAAAAUAAACCUGUAUUUGAUUAAAACAAGUAAUGCUGCAUAGACUGAAUCUAGUACUUUUCUCCGUUCCUUCCUUCUUUGGCAUUUCAUGUUAAUGUUAAAUACAGCUAUAACUAGUGUAUUUAGGUCAAAAAGUUGUCAAUGCUCUGCCCCCCAAAAACACAGAAUAGCCAAAGUUGUAUGUAUUCUAUAACUUAAAUGAUGAAGUCAUGAAGUCAUUAGUUCACCUGUAUGGAUCCAGUCUUCUAUUGUACAGCUUUUUAACUAAUUCGACCAAUGGCAAACAUCUGCAAAUGCUAUCAAUGUUUAUCCAUGACUGUUUCAGAAGUACUUAAGUAUUAACAAAUACUACUAGUCACUUUGUAUUGUGAUCUUCAUUUGUCCAUGUGACUAAUUCAAGAAUACUUUGUCCAUAAAAGCUUAGAACUGAAAUUCCCAUUCUUAUUUCCAGCCACUUUGCAUUUGAAUGGUAUUUAGCAGUGAUUGAUAAAGUGAUCAUCUAGAUAACAUAGAUGUCUAAAUUAUGAUUUUUGUCUUGAAGGAGACAGUCAAGCUGUCUGCUUAAGGGACAGAUGUCUAUCUUUUUGAGAUACCUGAAUAUUUAACUGAUGUAACUUUCUGCUUAGCUGUUUGACAUUGUCAUAUGUAGUCCUGGUCAUGGGUCUGGUUGUCUUGUUUUUGUUUGUUUGUUUGCUUUGUUUUUUUUUCUUUCAAAAUGCUUCAUGGCUCUGUUUAUACUGUUUUCACUGAGUUCAUAAGUAAACAGGUUUGUUGUUAAAAAGUAGCCCAAGCACAAAAUGUGACUUUGUUGACAUUUUCCAAGACUUUCCUUGAUCCCUGACUCCCAAUAAAAGAAAUGUUGCAUUAACUGUGAA
Long non-coding RNA from Meriones unguiculatus (Mongolian gerbil), 16893 nucleotides. RefSeq lists it as uncharacterized. The record is from RefSeq and is a predicted model, not a curated record. Lineage: Eukaryota; Metazoa; Chordata; Mammalia; Rodentia; Muridae. The transcript has 2 exons.